RNAcentral lists this ribosomal RNA (429 nucleotides) under Triticum aestivum (bread wheat). Its description in RNAcentral is "partial small subunit ribosomal RNA". Lineage: Eukaryota; Viridiplantae; Streptophyta; Magnoliopsida; Poales; Poaceae. The record is from RNAcentral.
AUGACUAAUGGUGGCUCACAUUUUAUUCAUGGUGCUUUCCAUAAAAUGCUUGCUAAGUAUGAUGUUAAUCAUAGAAUUGCAUCUCCUUAUCACCAACAGUCUAGUGGUCAAGUAGAAUUGAGUAAUAGAGAGCUCAAAUUAAUUUUGCAGAAGACUGUUAAUAGAUCUAGAAAGAAUUGGUCCAAGAAACUUGAUGAUGCAUUAUGGGCCUAUAGAAUUGCAUAUAAAAAUCCUAUGGGUAUGUCUCCGUAUAAAAUGGUUUAUGGAAAAGCAUGUCACUUACCCCUCGAAUUAGAACAUAAGGCUUAUUGGGCUAUUAAAGAGCUCAAUUAUGAUUUCAAACUUGUCGGUGAGAAGAGGUUAUUUGACAUUAGCUCACUUGAUGAAUGGAGAACCCAUGCCUAUGAGAAUGCCAAAUUAUUUAAAUAA